CCUACGGGGGGCUGCAGUGGGGAAUCUUGGACAAUGGGCGAAAGCCUGAUCCAGCAAUGCCGCGUGCGUGAAGAAGGCCUUCGGGUUGUAAAGCGCUUUUGUCGGGGAGGAAAUCCUAACGGUUAAUACCUGUUGGGGAUGACAGUACCCGAAGAAUAAGCACCGGCUAACUACGUGCCAGCAGCCGCGGUAAUACGUAGGGUGCAAGCGUUAAUCGGAAUUACUGGGCGUAAAGCGUCCGCAGGUGGCUUGAUAAGAUAGACGUGAAAUCCCUGGGCUCAACCUAGGAAUUGCGUAUAUGACUGUCUCGCUAGAGUAUGGGAGAGGGGGGUGGAAUUCCGCGUGUAGCAGUGAAAUGCGUAGAGAUGCGGAGGAACACCGAUGGCGAAGGCAACCCCCUGGCCUAAUACUGACACUCAUGGACGAAAGCGUGGGGAGCAAACAGGAUUAGAUACCCCAGUAGUC
Molecule: ribosomal RNA, 465 nt
Filed under: uncultured bacterium
Lineage: Bacteria
Description: bacterial SSU rRNA
Rfam family: Bacterial small subunit ribosomal RNA
Source: RNAcentral